GUAGCUANCCGUGACUUUCUAAGUAAUUACCGUCAAAUAAAGGCCAGUUACUACCUCUAUCUUUCUUCACUACCAACAGAGCUUUACGAGCCGAAACCCUUCUUCACUCACGCGGCGUUGCUCCAUCAGACUUGCGUCCAUUGUGGAAGAUUCCCUACUGCUGCCUCCCGUAGGAGUAGGGG
This 182-nucleotide ribosomal RNA is filed under the name Lactobacillus sp. GTH29. Its description in RNAcentral is "partial 16S ribosomal RNA". The record is from RNAcentral. Lineage: Bacteria; Bacillati; Bacillota; Bacilli; Lactobacillales; Lactobacillaceae.